Non-coding RNA from Pteropus alecto (black flying fox), 119 nucleotides. The record is from Rfam. NCBI's taxonomy places the organism in Eukaryota, Metazoa, Chordata, Mammalia, Chiroptera, Pteropodidae.
GUCUAUGGCCAUGCCACCCUGAACAAGCCCGAUCCUGUCUGAUCUUGGAAGCUAAGCAAGGUCGGGCCAGGUUAGUACUUGGAUGGGAGACCACCUAGGAAGACCAGGUGCUGUAGGUA